AAUUAACUGUAACCGCACAGAGUAUGGUCUAAAAAUAUUACCUACAAUGGCGAGUCUUAUAUUUAAG
Regulatory RNA element from Anaerosphaera aminiphila DSM 21120, 67 nucleotides. NCBI's taxonomy places the organism in Bacteria, Bacillati, Bacillota, Tissierellia, Tissierellales, Peptoniphilaceae. The record is from Rfam.